RNAcentral lists this transfer RNA (46 nucleotides) under Clostridioides difficile. RNAcentral describes it as "tRNA-Ala". The record is from RNAcentral. Lineage: Bacteria; Bacillati; Bacillota; Clostridia; Peptostreptococcales; Peptostreptococcaceae.
ACUCAAAAUUAGCACUUUAAGCAACGGGAUUUAUCCGUUGGCGCCG